GUAAGGAAUAUUGGUCAAUGGGCGCAAGCCUGAUCCAGCAAUGCCGCGUGCAGGAAGAAGGCCUUCGGGUUGUAAACUGCUUUUGUACGGAACGAAACGGUCCUGGUUAAUACCUGGGGCUAAUGACGGUACCGUAAGAAUAAGCACCGGCUAACUACGUGCCAGCAGCCGCGGUAAUACGUAGGGUGCAAGCGUUAAUCGGAAUUACUGGGCGUAAAGCGUGCGCAGGCGGUUUUGUAAGACAGGCGUGAAAUCCCCGGGCUCAACCUGGGAAUUGCGCUUGUGACUGCAAGGCUGGAGUGCGGCAGAGGGGGAUGGAAUUCCGCGUGUAGCAGUGAAAUGCGUAGAUAUGCGGAGGAACACCGAUGGCGAAGGCAAUCCCCUGGGCCUGCACUGACGCUCAUGCACGAAAGCGUGGGGAGCAAACAGGAUUAGAAACCCCGGUAGUCC
Molecule: ribosomal RNA, 450 nt
Filed under: uncultured bacterium
Lineage: Bacteria
Description: partial 16S ribosomal RNA
Rfam family: Bacterial small subunit ribosomal RNA
Source: RNAcentral